Molecule: ribosomal RNA, 585 nt
Filed under: uncultured bacterium
Lineage: Bacteria
Description: partial 16S ribosomal RNA
Rfam family: Bacterial small subunit ribosomal RNA
Source: RNAcentral
UGGGGAAUUUUGGACAAUGGGCGAAAGCCUGAUCCAGCAAUGCCGCGUGUGUGAAGAAGGCCUUCGGGUUGUAAAGCACUUUUGUCCGGAAAGAAAUCCUUGGCUCUAAUACAGUCGGGGGAUGACGGUACCGGAAGAAUAAGCACCGGCUAACUACGUGCCAGCAGCCGCGGUAAUACGUAGGGUGCAAGCGUUAAUCGGAAUUACUGGGCGUAAAGCGUGCGCAGGCGGUUUGCUAAGACCGAUGUGAAAUCCCCGGGCUCAACCUGGGAACUGCAUUGGUGACUGGCAGGCUAGAGUAUGGCAGAGGGGGGUAGAAUUCCACGUGUAGCAGUGAAAUGCGUAGAGAUGUGGAGGAAUACCGAUGGCGAAGGCAGCCCCCCUGGGCCAAUACUGACGCUCAUGCACGAAAGCGUGGGGAGCAAACAGGAUUAGAUACCCUGGUAGUCCACGCCCUAAAACGAUGUCAACUAGUUGUUGGGGAUUCAUUUCCUUAGUAACGUAGCUAACGCGUGAAGUUGACCGCCUGGGGGAGUACGGUCGCAAGAUUAAAACUCAAAUGAAUUGACGGGGUCAUAGCUGUUU